This 497-nucleotide ribosomal RNA is filed under the name uncultured bacterium. RNAcentral's name for it is "partial 16S ribosomal RNA". It matches the Rfam family "Bacterial small subunit ribosomal RNA", at positions 27 to 507 of the family's 1533-position model. The record is from RNAcentral.
GGAUGAACGCUGGCGGCGUGCCUACUACAUGCAAGUCGAGCGAACAGACGAGGAGCUUGCUCCUCUGACGUUAGCGGCGGACGGGUGAGUAACACGUGGAUAACCUACCUAUAAGACUGGGAUAACUUCGGGAAACCGGAGCUAAUACCGGAUAAUAUAUUGAACCGCAUGGUUCAAUAGUGAAAGACGGUUUUGCUGUCACUUAUAGAUGGAUCCGCGCCGCAUUAGCUAGUUGGUAAGGUAACGGCUACCAAGGCAACGAUGCGUAGCCGACCUGAGAGGGUGAUCGGCCACACUGGAACUGAGACACGGUCCAGACUCCUACGGGAGGCAGCAGUAGGGAAUCUUCCGCAAUGGGCGAAAGCUUGACGGAGCAACGCCGCGUGAGUGAUGAAGGUCUUCGGAUCGUAAAACUCUGUUAUUAGGGAAGAACAAAUGUGUAAGUAACUAUGCACGUCUUGACGGUACCUAAUCAGAAAGCCACGGCUAACUACGUG